UACGAAGGGUGCAAGCGUUACUCGGAAUUACUGGGCGUAAAGCGUGCGUAGGCGGUUUGUUAAGUCUGUCGUGAAAGCCCCGGGCUCAACCUGGGAAUGGCGAUGGAUACUGGCUCGCUAGAGUGCGGUAGAGGAGAGUGGAAUUCCCGGUGUAGCAGUGAAAUGCGUAGAGAUCGGGAGGAACAUCAGUUGCGAAGGCGGCUCUCUGGACCAGCACUGACACUGAGGCACGAAAGCGUGGGGAGCAAACAGG
This 253-nucleotide ribosomal RNA is filed under the name uncultured bacterium. RNAcentral's name for it is "partial 16S ribosomal RNA". It matches the Rfam family "Bacterial small subunit ribosomal RNA", at positions 524 to 776 of the family's 1533-position model. The record is from RNAcentral.